GGACCUUGAUUUGGGUAAGAGUUUGGGUUGGGUCUUUGUUGAAAAUUUGGUUGAGGAGUUGGAAAAGAAUUUGGCCCUUGAUUCAUUUGAAAAUUGGGUUGAGGAACUUGACAAUUUUGACCUUGGGUCCGUGAGAAAUUUGGGUGAUUUCUCCACCCGGGAUUAUAAGUGGGUGCAAACGCAUCAUUCCUAGGAUUUUGAAACAUCGCAUUUACUUGUUCAAGUUCGUGCGAAGGUUGGGUUGCGGGAUUUUGAAAAUUGUAAC
This 265-nucleotide long non-coding RNA is filed under the name Daucus carota (carrot). RNAcentral's name for it is "long non-coding RNA (DCAR_LNC007115)". The record is from RNAcentral. Lineage: Eukaryota; Viridiplantae; Streptophyta; Magnoliopsida; Apiales; Apiaceae.